AGCGCAUACGGUGGAUGCCUUGGCAGUCAGAGGCGAUGAAAGACGUGGUAGCCUGCGAUAAGCUUCGGGGAGUCGGCAAACAGACUUUGAUCCGGAGAUCUCUGAAUGGGGGAACCCACUCAGCAUAAGCUGAGUAUCUUGUACUGAAUACAUAGGUGCAAGAGGCGAACCAGGGGAACUGAAACAUCUAAGUACCCUGAGGAAAAGAAAUCAACCGAGAUUCCCUUAGUAGUGGCGAGCGAACGGGGACUAGCCCUUAAGUGGCUUUGAGAUUAGCGGAACGCUCUGGAAAGUGCGGCCAUAGUGGGUGAUAGCCCUGUACGCGAAAAUCUCUUAGUCAUGAAAUCGAGUAGGACGGAGCACGAGAAACUUUGUCUGAAUAUGGGGGGACCAUCCUCCAAGGCUAAAUACUACUGACUGACCGAUAGUGAACCAGUACCGUGAGGGAAAGGCGAAAAGAACCCCGGAGAGGGGAGUGAAAUAGAUCCUGAAACCGUAUGCGUACAAGCAGUGGGAGCCUACUUUGUUAGGUGACUGCGUACCUUUUGUAUAAUGGGUCAGCGACUUAUAUUCAGUGGCGAGCUUAACCGAAUAGGGGAGGCGUAGCGAAAGCGAGUGUUAAUAGCGCGUUUAGUCGCUGGGUAUAGACCCGAAACCGGGCGAUCUAUCCAUGGGCAGGUUGAAGGUUAGGUAACACUGACUGGAGGACCGAACCGACUACCGUUGAAAAGUUAGCGGAUGACCUGUGGAUCGGAGUGAAAGGCUAAUCAAGCUCGGAGAUAGCUGGUUCUCCUCGAAAGCUAUUUAGGUAGCGCCUCAUGUAUCACUGUAGGGGGUAGAGCACUGUUUCGGCUAGGGGGUCAUCCCGACUUACCAAACCGAUGCAAACUCCGAAUACCUACAAGUGCCGAGCAUGGGAGACACACGGCGGGUGCUAACGUCCGUCGUGAAAAGGGAAACAACCCAGACCGUCAGCUAAGGUCCCAAAGUUAUGGUUAAGUGGGAAACGAUGUGGGAAGGCUUAGACAGCUAGGAGGUUGGCUUAGAAGCAGCCACCCUUUAAAGAAAGCGUAAUAGCUCACUAGUCGAGUCGGCCUGCGCGGAAGAUGUAACGGGGCUCAAACCAUACACCGAAGCUACGGGUGUCACUUAGGUGACGCGGUAGAGGAGCGUUCUGUAAGCCUGUGAAGGUGAGUUGAGAAGCUUGCUGGAGGUAUCAGAAGUGCGAAUGCUGACAUGAGUAACGACAAUGGGAGUGAAAAACUCCCACGCCGAAAGACCAAGGUUUCCUGCGCAACGUUAAUCGACGCAGGGUUAGUCGGUCCCUAAGGCGAGGCUGAAAAGCGUAGUCGAUGGAAAACAGGUUAAUAUUCCUGUACUUCUAGUUAUUGCGAUGGAGGGACGGAGAAGGCUAGGCCAGCUUGGCGUUGGUUGUCCAAGUUUAAGGUGGUAGGCUGAGAUCUUAGGUAAAUCCGGGAUCUUAAGGCCGAGAGCUGAUGACGAGUUGCCUUUAGGCGACGAAGUGGUUGAUGCCAUGCUUCCAAGAAAAGCUUCUAAGCUUCAGAUAACUAGGAACCGUACCCCAAACCGACACAGGUGGUUGGGUAGAGAAUACCAAGGCGCUUGAGAGAACUCGGGUGAAGGAACUAGGCAAAAUGGCACCGUAACUUCGGGAGAAGGUGCGCCGGUGAGGGUGAAGGACUUGCUCCGUAAGCCCAUGCCGGUCGAAGAUACCAGGCCGCUGCGACUGUUUAUUAAAAACACAGCACUCUGCAAACACGAAAGUGGACGUAUAGGGUGUGACGCCUGCCCGGUGCCGGAAGGUUAAUUGAUGGGGUUAGCUAACGCGAAGCUCUUGAUCGAAGCCCCGGUAAACGGCGGCCGUAACUAUAACGGUCCUAAGGUAGCGAAAUUCCUUGUCGGGUAAGUUCCGACCUGCACGAAUGGCGUAACGAUGGCGGCGCUGUCUCCACCCGAGACUCAGUGAAAUUGAAAUCGCUGUGAAGAUGCAGUGUAUCCGCGGCUAGACGGAAAGACCCCGUGAACCUUUACUAUAGCUUUGCACUGGACUUUGAAUUUGCUUGUGUAGGAUAGGU
This 2096-nucleotide ribosomal RNA is filed under the name Pseudomonas wadenswilerensis. RNAcentral describes it as "bacterial LSU rRNA". It matches the Rfam family "Bacterial large subunit ribosomal RNA", at positions 14 to 2148 of the family's 2925-position model. The record is from RNAcentral. Lineage: Bacteria; Pseudomonadati; Pseudomonadota; Gammaproteobacteria; Pseudomonadales; Pseudomonadaceae.